RNAcentral lists this ribosomal RNA (464 nucleotides) under Martinezella tropici. RNAcentral describes it as "bacterial SSU rRNA". It matches the Rfam family "Bacterial small subunit ribosomal RNA", at positions 44 to 556 of the family's 1533-position model. Lineage: Bacteria; Pseudomonadati; Pseudomonadota; Alphaproteobacteria; Hyphomicrobiales; Rhizobiaceae. The record is from RNAcentral.
AGGCUUAACACAUGCAAGUCGAGCGCCCCGCAAGGGGAGCGGCAGACGGGUGAGUAACGCGUGGGAAUCUACCUUUUGCUACGGAAUAACGCAGGGAAACUUGUGCUAAUACCGUAUGUGUCCUUCGGGAGAAAGAUUUAUCGGCAAGAGAUGAGCCCGCGUUGGAUUAGCUAGUUGGUGGGGUAAAGGCCUACCAAGGCGACGAUCCAUAGCUGGUCUGAGAGGAUGAUCAGCCACAUUGGGACUGAGACACGGCCCAAACUCCUACGGGAGGCAGCAGUGGGGAAUAUUGGACAAUGGGCGCAAGCCUGAUCCAGCCAUGCCGCGUGAGUGAUGAAGGCCCUAGGGUUGUAAAGCUCUUUCACCGGAGAAGAUAAUGACGGUAUCCGGAGAAGAAGCCCCGGCUAACUUCGUGCCAGCAGCCGCGGUAAUACGAAGGGGGCUAGCGUUGUUCGGAAUUACUG